Molecule: long non-coding RNA, 3512 nt
Filed under: Coffea arabica (coffee)
Lineage: Eukaryota; Viridiplantae; Streptophyta; Magnoliopsida; Gentianales; Rubiaceae
Description: long non-coding RNA (CARA_LNC007694)
Source: RNAcentral
AAAAAAAAAAAACAACACAGCAAGACAAAACUAAUGAACAAAGAAGAAAGUAGAUAUAAGGUUGGGAUAAUGCCAGACCUUGGGCAUAAAUUCCUAUUGUAAUUACCAUAUAGAAAAGUAACACGGGUAAAAUCAGGUAUUCCCUUGUGAUGUGCAUAAACAACUCUUACUAAUAAAGAUAAAUUUACAGGCAAGACCAAUUUCUUUUGCUCUGCUCUGUUAGUAACAACUAUCAAUAUGUCGUUUACAUGCUUGAAGAAAUUAGACCAGAAAGUUUACCUAAUAAAAGCUACUAUAUUUUGACUAAAAACAACAGACUGAAAUAGAACAAACUUAGAACCAAAAUUUAGAGUAACACAAGAUGCCAAAUAGGAUAAAACACCAUAUAUGAAGAAACAAAACUUAGAAUCUAUCUCAAACAAAGAAUAAAGUCCAACAAACUUUUCAGAACAUUUAGCCGCACUAUAACUGCAUAAUUGAAACAAAUGCCCAGUCAGACUACAUCAUAACAACUCAUAACUUGCAGCCCUUCAGUUUAAUUCCAGGGAUUUAUUAGAGAUAUGGUAAUUCAGAAACACACAUAAGUUUGUUAGCAUAAAGAAUAGAGUGGGAAAACAGGAAACUCAGGGGAUUUAGAAAAGAGAAAUGCUAAUAAAGCACCAACAAAAGAAAAACAAAAACUAUCAAAUCUCUCACAAACCAAGUCAUGGACAAGUGGCCUCUACCUAUUUCUCCCAAGGGAGUGAUCAAAGGAUACUAGAAAGGAAGAGUGGGUUGAGAGAGAGAGAGAAUACUCCGUUCUAAAAUAAAAGAGUUGCAGACAGAAGUGUGAACAUAGUAUUAAAAUGCCAAUUAUAAAAUUGGAAGUUUAUCUCCCCACUCUUUACUUAAUAGCCAAAGUGAACAAUAUGAUAUUGCAUGCACAAUUGUGCAUUAGAAUGUGGAUUGGAAUUGCCAGAUAUGGAUUUACCAUUUAUUUUAGUAUUUCAUUUCAAUUGAAGUAGAUAAUAUAACUGCAGUUUAUUAUUGAACUAACAAAGCAUUUGGAAUCUUACAAACUAACAUGCCUAAUUAAGGUAAUGUUUUCUGCAAAUUAUCCCUUUACUGAUCUUGGCAUGGGGAUUCCUUUGCUUGCAGCUAGUUGUAGAUAACUAAAAGCACUCUUCUGGAUCUUUAAGUUCCACAAAGUAUCAAAACAUAACAUCUAAAAGUAUACAACCAUGAGAGCCUACAUCUCCUGUAACUAAUACUUGCACAUUCCAAAAGGAAAAUAUAAUAUCUCAUACAUAUGAAAACCUUUUAAAUGCACUCCGACAAAAUUGUUCUCCUCUCCUGGUUGGAAAAGAUGAAGGUUACUCUAGGAAAUAAAUGUAGAGCUUGAUAGUAAUGGAGUCAAAUCUCAACAAUCAAACUUUUGAAAGUGUAGCAGACAAAACUAAUUUCAUGGAAAGCAUAUUGGAUGUCAUCAUAUUCCAAGUGGCAAGUAUUAAUCAAGUUGCUUAGACAGCAUUUAUAUUAGAACAAAAACUAAAAAAUGGCUUAAUCUCCAUAAAGGAAGAAGUUAUUGUGUUUGAUAAAGCAUUCCAAAUAUGUAUAAAGCAGUAUAUUCUUCUAUCCAACAAAUAAAAUUUGUGCAAAUACCAAUACAAGCUCAUAAAUCUGUGGUUGAUGAUUAGGUUGGAUCAAAACAAAUAAUAAUUAGGCUGGGUCCCAGAAAAUAAAAGCAGAUCAUUCCUAAUUAAAGAGAAAAUUGUGAAGAAAGAACUUGCAGGUUUCUUUUCAGGCAAAAAUGGCCUGGACACAAAAUCUUAGCCAGGUCAUGCCACUAGGGUUUAGUGAUAUAAAAGAACUAAAGCAGUCAAUGAUUUCAAAGAUCACAAACUCAAGUAAGCAAUGUAUGGGUUCCAUUGUGCAUUUCAUCCAUAAUCUGCAUAACAGAACUUCUAAAUUACCGCCAGUGUGAUGCUAAAAUAUUGAUCUGGAUCAUAUUCUGUCACUUGUAUCAUAUAUACGUCGAACUCUCUUGUCCAUUCUGAAAUCCUAAACAAAACCUGGAUGUUAUCCUACUCACACCAAAGAGAUUCCAGGCACAAUUCUUCGUCUAGGACAUAAAUCAUAUUAGAAUUUCAUUCUCAACAAUUCAUCAGUAACCAGAGAUCAAACCACUAAUUGUUGGAAACUACAGGCCCUUGAGUACAAUGAGUUUCAAUAUUGAUGGUAAAUAGUUUUAACAGAGGGGGAAAUUUUCUGGAUAGAAAUUCUAUUUGCAGAAAAGACAUAACCACAGACGACUAUACCUCUGCGUUCUCAAGCUUUUGCACAAGCCUUGGCUUUCUAUUUUAGAUUCUUUCCUUGCCAGUCUCCAUCAAAAGAGACGAAAGAUGAGGUAAAGGAGAGGAAAUUUGUAAAAGACAGAGGCAGUAUUUUCGUUGCAACUACUUUCACCUAAUGCCUCUUUCCAUUUCAAAUCAAAAGAUCUCCAACAAUAAAAGUUUGAAGCGUCAAAUGAUACCCAAUUAUUGGAUCCUGCUUGCACAAAGAUGAAGUGCUGUAUUUGCAGAACUACGAGCAUGAAAAGAAAGAAGUCUUGCUCUUUUGGAGAUCAGAAAUCCAGUUAAGAAAAAAACUUAAUACAUUUAUGGCCUAUUUUUGCAUUACUAAAAUAGUUAACACCACAUCAAUAAGGAUGGUUAGCAUCUAGCAAUAAGAUUAUUGCAUCAUAGCAACAGAAUUUGUCUACUCUAGAUUCCACUCAAACAGGCAAUGUGACAACCCAAUUUGGAAUCCAUCAAGUGGCAACCUCUUCAAUUAUUUUAGUAUAACGUGAAAUAUUCCAAAUAUUUAAGCUUUAACCCAUUGCACUGUUUUGCUAGCAGCAGGUUGAAGAUUCAAUUAGAAAAGAUAAUGACAUAGUGUACAGUAUUUCUAUUAUUAAUCACAUAGUUUUCUAAACAUCCAAAAUGGUGAAAAAUUAUCAAGGCACCCUUUAGAGCAAUCUGGUCUGCCUCCACAUAAAGUUGACAGAAAUGCAAGUAGAAACUAUUCAGAACUUGCUAGUGCUAGUCUAUGUCAUCUGCAACCCCCAAUCAUUGUUUUGCGGAAACCAAGAUUCCUUUAAGCAUGAUCAAAUUUUUUACAUGCAAAGGAGUGAAUAGUGUUAAAAUGAAGAGUCUCUUUACAGAGUCUUUUCUACGUAAAUAUGAAUACCUAAGCCAAAUGAAUUGGAAGAGUUCUUAACCACUUGAAAGACCAAAAAUUAGAAACAUAUGCAGUGAAACAGCUGAAUUGCGGAACCAAGCAAUUGCAACUUUGGUCUGAAUUUGAGAAUCAAGGUCUACUAACCACCAAUUUUUGAGCUUUCCAUGAAGUAAUUCUACUCAACUUUCUAACAGUAUGCGAUUUUUCCCAAGGCUCACUCCUAGUUUUAAAGCAAACCCAGCUAACUUCAAAGAAAAUGCAAUCGGAAAACAAAUAUGGUAAUAAAAAUUUUUCAGACAAUCACUGUGGUAGGA